This 602-nucleotide ribosomal RNA is filed under the name Hylarana roberti (Tenaserim dark-side frog). RNAcentral's name for it is "partial 16S ribosomal RNA". The stretch from base 345 to 594 matches the Rfam family "Archaeal large subunit ribosomal RNA", at positions 1787 to 2143 of the family's 2987-position model. The record is from RNAcentral. Lineage: Eukaryota; Metazoa; Chordata; Amphibia; Anura; Ranidae.
UUAUUUGAAAUAGGAUACAACCUCCAACACUGGGUAAAUUUAAGUGAUUAAAACAAAGUGGGCCUAAAAGCAGCCACCUUUAGAAAAGCGUCAUAGCUUAACCUCUCUCACACCCCAAUUUAUUUAACCCCUUUUAACCCUUCACCAAUACUGAACUAUUUUAUAUUUUUAUAAAAAUAAUUAUGCUAGAACUAGUAACAAGAAAUUUGCCUUUCUCCUAAUUGCAAGUAUAAAUCAAAACGACACCCCAAUGAUACUUAACGCAAAUACAUAUUUUAUAGCAACAAAUAUCUAGAAAAUCCUAUAACCUCAAACGUUAACCUUACACCAGAGCACUUCAGGAAAGAUUAAAAGAGAAAGAAGGAACUCGGCAAACUUCAGCCCCGCCUGUUUACCAAAAACAUCGCCUCUUGUUUUCCAUAAGAGGUCCAGCCUGCCCAGUGACAUAAAGUUUAACGGCCGCGGUAACCUAACCGUGCAAAGGUAGCAUAAUCACUUGUUCUCUAAAUAGGGACUCGUAUCAACGGCACCACGAGGGCUGUUCUGUCUCCUUUCUCCAAUCAGUGAAACUGAUCUCCCCGUGAAGAAGCGGGGAUUUUUUU